Hyaena hyaena (striped hyena) is the source of this 279-nucleotide long non-coding RNA. RefSeq lists it as uncharacterized. The record is from RefSeq and is a predicted model, not a curated record. Lineage: Eukaryota; Metazoa; Chordata; Mammalia; Carnivora; Hyaenidae. The transcript is spliced from 3 exons.
CGAGAACACUAGGCUACGUGACAGACCUGGAUGCCACCGACUUUCCUCCAGCCUGCUAGACACUAACAGCAGGAUGCGGUGGAGACAGGAAGGGUCAAGAGGCUACUCCCAAUGACCUGCGUGUCCAGCCCACCUGAAGGGCCUUCCAUCUUGGGAAACAUGGCUCCGUAACUCAUCAGGCUGCUCUUAUGUGGAACAGACUAACCAGGUCUGGAUUUUCUACAAUCAAAAUGCAAUUCUUCUAUUAGGAAAAAAAAGGCCCAAUAAUAGAGAAUUAAG